UGCUUCCAGAAGUCUACCUCCACGACCCUUUCUUUAGACUGACGGCGAGCCCGUCUGUUAACUUCGGAGCACUGGGAACGAUCUUGGGACAUUACAUGACCCUCGGCUUGAGCGCUCACGGCGCCUACUACGACUACAAGGGCAACCUCGACGAGUGGUGGACGCCAAAGAUGCGGCGCGGGUACGCGGCCGGGGCUGUGUGUUUCCGCAAUCAGGCCGACUGGUUUGUGAACCCGGUUACGGGCAAAGCGGUAGGUGCAGCCUUUUCUCGCGUACGUGCAAUUUUUGUCUUUGCAU
Molecule: long non-coding RNA, 297 nt
Filed under: Dermacentor andersoni
Lineage: Eukaryota; Metazoa; Arthropoda; Arachnida; Ixodida; Ixodidae
Description: uncharacterized LOC126536254
Source: RNAcentral